RNAcentral lists this ribosomal RNA (460 nucleotides) under uncultured bacterium. Its description in RNAcentral is "partial 16S ribosomal RNA". It matches the Rfam family "Bacterial small subunit ribosomal RNA", at positions 338 to 795 of the family's 1533-position model. The record is from RNAcentral.
CCUACGGGAGGCAGCAGUGAGGAAUAUUGGUCAAUGGGCUUACGCCUGAACCAGCCAAGUCGCGUGAGGGAAGACUGCCCUAUGGGUUGUAAACCUCUUUUGUCAGGGAGCAAUUGUCGCUACGUAUAGCGUUAUCUAUAGUACCUGCAGAAAAAGCAUCGGCUAACUCCUUGCCAGCAGCCGCGUUAAUACGAAGGAUGCGAGCGUUAUCCGGAUUUAUUGGGUUUAAAGGGUGCGUAGGCGGCAUGCAAAGUCAGCGGUAAAAUCGCGGGGCUAAACCUACCUCCGCAGUUGAAACUGGCGUUCUUGAGUGGGCGAGAGGUAUGCGGAAUGCGUGGUGUAGCGGUGAAAUGCAUAGAUAUCACGCAGAACUCCGAUUGCGAAGGCAGCAUACCGGAGCCCAACUGACGCUGAAGCACGAAAGCGUGGGUAUCGAACAGGAUUAGAUACCCCGGUAGUC